ACCAAAUUCCGUCUUACUCGAGUCGUUCCUAUACUUGCAAGGCUUGUGGCUCUGCUGGUAAUGGAUUUUGUUUUAGCUGUGCUGCUUGUGAAUUUGAUAUUCACUUGCAAUGUGCGUCCAGUCCUAGCUCCAUACUUGUUAAUAGCCACCUGCAUCAAUUGGAGCUCCACUUCGGUUCUCCAUACGAAGAUAAGAAUAUCAAAUACAAUUGUGAUAUGUGCAAUGUGAUAAUGAACAAGGACGAUUGGUUGUACUACUGUGCUGGGUGUGAUUUCGGGUCACACUUGCGGUGUGCAAUAACUAGUCCUGAAGUCGGUGUUUUCCCCAAACAGCAGCGUCCAAUUCCAAAUUCAAAUCCAAAUCCAAAUCCAAGUCCAAGUCAGAAUUCGAAUUCAAAUUCAAAUUUAAAUCCAAAUGCGGCGGUGGAAAUGAUUAAUUCAGUGAAUGCUGCUCAUGAGCAGCUUAUAGCAGCUCAAAUUCGCGCUCAGUUUGUGGCACGAGGACAAGAGGCUGCUCUGGACUUAAUUUAGGCAUACAAUUGCAUAUAUCUAAUGCUUACGCUUUGGCCUUCUUCAGUUUUUAUUGCAAAAUAAAUGCUUUAUUGUUGUUAUCGUGUUAUUUCUCUUUCAAAUUUGUAUCUUUAAUCAUCAAGUUUCUCCAUUUUUGUUUUGGUUUCUAUGUUUAUGGAUUAUAAACUGACAUCAUGAGAAUGGAAUUCUUUUACUGGAAAGCCACACUCAUACUCCAUAAAAAUGUAAUCAAGAUAAUCCUCAAUAAAUCUUUGUGGCUCCCCUCCAUUACCCUUUCCCUCCAUUUCGUCAAGUACACAUCUAGAUGAAAGACAUGUGUAUUAUUUAAUUGUUAAAAGUCAAGAUUAUGUUGCAUUAACUAGUAUCAUAACCAUAGUUAAGGAAUAAGUUUUGGAACAAAUAAUUUCUUAACUUGGGCAAGAAAAAUAUUCCUACAAAUCUUUGAACAGUUUAAUUUCAUUUUUUAUUUCUAUAGUCAAAUAUUAAUAUUGUACAUUAUUUAAUCGCUUCCUAUGCUAGCAAAUUUAUUCUUGAAAUAUUAGGUUGAGAAAUUUAAAAAAUAAAAGGAAGAAUUAUCAUUGAUGAUAGAAAUCAUAUAAUAUAAAAUGGGAAGUAAAAAAUGCAUUAGAAUUACAAAUGUGAGAGUAUAAAAAAAAAUUCUUUUUAAAAAAUAAAAUAAAAGAAAAUAUCAAUUUAAACGCAAAAUAUUUUGUAAGACUACUGUUAGGCUAAACAAAUUAAACGUUGUUAAGUUCAUGUUCCAUAAUUUUAAUAUUUAAAUAUAAAAAUAUAAAAUAAAAUUAAUGAUAUAAAUAUAUGGAUACGAAAAAUUGAGAAGAAUUAAUUAUUCUUACUAAAUUUGGAGAGAAUUUUUUUUCAAAACUUAUUCACUUAACUAUGGUUAUGAUACUAGUUAAUGCAAUAUAAUCUUGACCUUUAACAAUUAAAUAGUACAUAUGUCUCUCAUCCAGACGUGUACUUGACGAAAUGGAGGGGAGCCAAAUCCCAAAGUCUUACUAUAAACUUAAAAUUUUGGCUUCGCAAAAUCAUGAAAGAGCAGCUCGAUGCAUAAAAUAUUUCAUAUUCACACAUGAUAUAAAAAUAAAAAAAAGAGUUGCAUUUGAAACAAUGUGAUAUAAACAAUCUACUCUAGUGUAAAUAGAAAAAUUAAGCGGACAUAUAUGACUGUUCGUGUGGCAAGUUAAUUUUGAGACACUACGGUCUACCAUAAUCAAACUCCAACGCGUUCAAUUAAGUAUUAGUCAAUAGUCAGCACUAGGAUAAUGAAUGAUAAAAAUGCCAACUUGCUAAGAUCAAAAAGUCGAACAGUUGAUUGUUGCCGUAACAUGCAUCCAUGAACCUCAAUGAAGUUGACUUCAAAAGUUAUCAAUUUGCCGAAAUCAGUCGAUUUAAUUUCACAGUUUAUAUGUCAGAGACAACCUAUAAAUCUAGAUAGAGCUGCUUUUUUUUUAAUUUGGAUCUGAUAUACAUAUUGGGGCUCACGACUAAAUUUGGAUUCAUGUCGAAAAAUCUCAAUUGAGAUAAUUAUUCACCUGACAAGUUGAUUAGUAUUAAGACGAUACAAUAAUCAGACUCCAAUGUGUGAUGCAGAUUAGAACAAGCUCUGAAUGAACUGGUAGUCGACCAGCACUACUUAGGAAAAUGAUUGAUGAAAUGCCAACUUGUAUGAGCAAAAAGUCAGCUGCCGGAACUUCGAUGAACCUCAACACAGUUGACUUGUGAAUUACGUAUUAAUAUUCUCGGAGCCAUUUUAGUCAAAGUCAAAAAAACGAAGAUGCUCGGCCCCAUUUUAGUACGUAGACAAUGGAUACCAGUUAGUCAAUCAACUGGCCAAAUUGUUAUAGCAAAAGAAGAAAAUAUGUAAGCAAAGGAAACAAUUAAAAUAUCUAUAAAUAUAAAUCAUCACUUGCAGAUGGCUAAGCUAACUCUCCAUUAUAGUACUGCACAACAAAAUUACAAGAAAAAAAAUGGGAAGACAAAACCGGGGUACAAAUGCGGGACCUCAAGAUAAACAACACUUCAGUCAUUCUCACAUCUUGAAACUAAUUAUGAAUCCAACUGAAACUCUCAAUUGCAAUGCCUGUGAGAAACCAAACAAUAGUCACACGCCUUUCUACGGCUGCAACACCUGCCAAUAUUUCCUCCACGAUAACUGUUUCAAUGCUCCGCGUUUUAUCAAUCACUCGUCUCAUCCUUCCCACCCCUUGAC
This 2760-nucleotide long non-coding RNA is filed under the name Solanum tuberosum (potato). RNAcentral's name for it is "long non-coding RNA (STUB_LNC002104)". Lineage: Eukaryota; Viridiplantae; Streptophyta; Magnoliopsida; Solanales; Solanaceae. The record is from RNAcentral.